AGCAGCCGCGGUAAUCCCAGCUCCAAUAGCGUAUAUUAAAGUUGUUGCAGUUAAAAGCUCGUAGUUGAAUUUCGGGAUCAAAUUGUCGGUCGUGCCUCGGUACGCACUGGUAUUAUUGGUUCCUACCUUCUGAAGAACCGCGAUGUCAUUAAUUUGGUGUCGUGGGGAAUCAGGACUGUUACUUUGAAAAAAUUAGAGUGUUUAAAGCAGGCUUACGCUUGAAUACAUUAGCAUGGAAUAAUGAAAUAGGACGUUUGAUUCUAUUUUGUUGGUUUCUAGGAUUGACGUAAUGAUUAAUAGGGAUAGUUGGGGGCAUUAGUAUUCAAUUGUCAGAGGUGAAAUUCUUGGAUUUAUUGAAGACUAACUACUGCGAAAGCAUUUGCCAAGGAUGUUUUCAUUAAUCAAGAACGAAAGUUAGGGGAUCAAAGACGAUCAGAUACCGUCGUAGUCUUAACCAUAAACUAUGCCGACUAGGGAUCGGAUGAUGUUAAUUUUUUAAUGACUCAUUCGGCGCCUUACG
This 520-nucleotide ribosomal RNA is filed under the name uncultured Glomus. RNAcentral's name for it is "SSU rRNA". It matches the Rfam family "Eukaryotic small subunit ribosomal RNA", at positions 569 to 1092 of the family's 1831-position model. Lineage: Eukaryota; Fungi; Glomeromycota; Glomeromycetes; Glomerales; Glomeraceae. The record is from RNAcentral.